This is a long non-coding RNA of Homo sapiens (human), 1259 nucleotides long. The record is from Ensembl. Lineage: Eukaryota; Metazoa; Chordata; Mammalia; Primates; Hominidae.
AUUCUUCCGCUUCCUGCCACCACGAGAAGAAGGACGUGUUUGCUUCCCCUUCCACCACAAUUUUAAGUUUCCUGAGGCCUUCCCCAGCCCUGCGGAACUAUUAAAUGAAAUGAAGACACUGAGCUCUGCAAGUACACUGCUUUUUGAAUCCCAGAGUGAACUUGCUUGUCAAAUGCCUCUUUAAAAAGAAAGUGAAGAUAACUGCAAGUCAGCUGGAAGUGCUGCCAAGAUAUGACCUCCAGGAAGGCCCAGAAGACAAGUGAUAUUGUGUGGACUGCUACAGCGCAAUGUCUAACUGAUGCAAAAUGAAGAAUCAAUUUGAAAUUAAGAUGAGUAAAGGCAUCCAGCACUUACAGCAAAAAACAUUGUCAUCAGGCCCUGGGGAGAUGAGGACACCUCCCUUCCCUUCUCAGGCUCCCUUUCCCUGUCAGACUCUAGCUCUCAAAGGCUGUCAUCCUCCAAGGGUAUUCCCUACGUACUGCAUAGCAUCUCUGUUACCCUUUGAAUUCAACAGUAUUCAUCUCCUCCAACAUUCAUUCAUUCCUUUAGUCAAAAGUCAGUUGUCAAACACAAGGCACAAGUGCACAUUUAAGGAAUUCAUGGCCAAUAUUUGUCAUGUCAUUUCAUGAAUUGUCUGAGAAACAUAAAACAUACAAUGAGGAUACUGAUCCAAGAUACAUGGCACACAAUUAAAUUGCGAAAAACAUGACUCUGAGUCCAAAAGUUCUUAUUUUUUCACAGUCUUCAGAGUAUUGUAUAGACCCCUUGAAAAAUAAAUUUGCAGAGUGUGAAUGUUAAUUACUGUCACCUUCAGAAAAGAGAUUUUACACAUGUAUAAAAGAGAAAUAGUGACUAUUCUAGAUUAUAGAGCACAGAAAGAAUUCUCAAACUAGUAUAACCCUAUUUCUCUAUAUCACAAAGACAUCUUGUAGGCAUGUUCCUCUGAAGGACUUGAGAAUUAUGCUUUUUUUCCUCCUUGUCUCUCUAAAAGCAAAAAGCACAGUAAUCUCGCUGAAGUAUAAUCAAAACAGAGCCUGAUGUGAAACCAGAGCCUUGAGUUUUCAUCCUGCAUUUGUUACUUAAAAGCUGACAUAAGAAAAAUUAUUUAACUUCUCUUAACCUCAGUUUCUUAUCUAUAAAAUGGGAUUAUAAAAUGUAUCUCACAAGGUAGUUAUGAGGAUUAAAGGAAAUGAAAAAAUGCUUAUUUGGUUUUGAAUCCUGGUUUGGUCUAGCUAUCAAUAAAACUCAUUAAGAUGGAA